Molecule: small nuclear RNA, 105 nt
Organism: Nycticebus coucang (slow loris)
Lineage: Eukaryota; Metazoa; Chordata; Mammalia; Primates; Lorisidae
Source: RefSeq, a predicted model, not a curated record
UUGCUUUGGCAGUACAUACAUACUGAAGUUGGAAAGAUACGGAGGAGAUUAACAAAGCCCCUGUGCAAGGGUGACAUGCAGAUUUGUGAAGAGUUCCUCAAGGCA